RNAcentral lists this ribosomal RNA (468 nucleotides) under uncultured bacterium. Its description in RNAcentral is "partial 16S ribosomal RNA". It matches the Rfam family "Bacterial small subunit ribosomal RNA", at positions 28 to 507 of the family's 1533-position model. The record is from RNAcentral.
GACGAACGCUGGCGGCGUGCUUAACACAUGCCAGUCGAACGGAAAGGCCCUGCUUUUGUGUGGUGCUCGAGUGGCGAACGGGUGAGUAUCACGUGAGUAACCUGCCCUUGACUUUGGGAUAACUUCAGGAAACUGGGGCUAUUACCGGAUAGGAGCUCCUGCUGCAUGGUGGGGGUUGGAAAGUUUCGGCGGUUGGGGAUGGACUCGCGGCUUAUCAGCUUGUUGGGGGGGUAGUUGCUUACAAGGGCUUUGACGGGUAGCCGGCCUGAGAGGGUGACCGGCCACAUUGGGACUGAGAGACGGCGCAGACUCCUACGGGAGGCAGCAGUGGGGAAUAUUGCACAGUGGGCGGAAGCGUGAUGCAGCAACGCCGCGUGCGGGAUGACGGCCUUCGGGUUGUAAACCGCUGUGGCCUGUGACGAAGCGUGAGUGACGGUAAUGGGUAAAGAAGCACCGGCUAACUACGUG